This 219-nucleotide long non-coding RNA is filed under the name Elaeis guineensis (African oil palm). Its description in RNAcentral is "long non-coding RNA (EGUI_LNC058803)". The record is from RNAcentral. Lineage: Eukaryota; Viridiplantae; Streptophyta; Magnoliopsida; Arecales; Arecaceae.
GCUCGGUAGGUGGUGUAUGGACUCAUGGAGAUUGAGAGGAAGGUGGUGGAGCAGGAGGUGUGACUUCUGCUGGUGUUGGAUCUAGAGAAGCUGAUGGAACGUGGGCUGAUGGUGACUGAGAGAAAGGUGGUGGAGCCAUAGUACCAUGACUCUGAAGAAGCUGCUGGUACUUGAUAGAGGGGGUGCAACAUCAGUCAGAGAUGGAGCUAAAGGUGUGAC